UACGUAGGUGGCGACCGUUGUCCGGAAUUACUGGGCGUAAAGCGUGCGUAGGCGGCUCCUUAAGCGAGGUGUGAAAUCCCUGGGCUCAACCCAGGAACUGCACUUCAAACUGGGGAGCUAGAGUGCAGGAGAGGAAAGCGGAAUUCCCGGUGUAGCGGUGAAAUGCGUAGAGAUCGGGAGGAACACCAGUGGCGAAGGCGGCUUUCUGGACUGUAACUGACGCUGAGGCACGAAAGCGUGGGGAGCAAACAGG
Molecule: ribosomal RNA, 253 nt
Filed under: uncultured bacterium
Lineage: Bacteria
Description: partial 16S ribosomal RNA
Rfam family: Bacterial small subunit ribosomal RNA
Source: RNAcentral